CAACUUUGAAACUUUACUAUGCAGAAGAAAUAUGCUACUUUUCCUUUAUUUUUUAGUAGUUUAACAGUACUAUAUUUUAUUUGCUUCCCCCACUCUGUUUCGCCUGAUCGUGUACUUCUGGUUCCAGAUGAGGUGUGGUUGACAGUCAGUUUGUAAGUCUGGUGUUUGUGUCUGUGAGGUUCUACUGUAGUGUGUUGGUAUCUGUAUCUUCACAAAUCAUUUGGCGCCUGUAGGUCAGAUGCCUUUUUUUUUUUUUUUUUAGCCAAGUACACAACAUUUUAGUUGAAUGCUGUGCAUCCCUCUUCCUGUAAAAUGUUAAUUCUGCUUCUGAAAUGUUAAUUUCUGGCCUUCCCUAGUUUGAGUGGAGGAUGACUGAGGUAUAAGGAUGGCCGGAUGAGGCUUUUAUUGAAGUUAAAUAGGUACCAAGUUCUCAACAGUGAUGAGAAAUCUCUAAUCCUCUUAAUAACUGAACUUUCACUCAUGCCUUGUGUUAUCACUCACACUAGUUAUUCCAUUAGUCUUUCCUCCUAGACAGGAUAUAAAUUUCAAAGGUGAAAGACAAGCAGAAAAAGAUGGGCAGGCUGCCUCUAUACAGUGAAGCAGAAGAAAAGGUCAAAAGUCCUUCUUCCUUCUCUUUGCUGUUUUGCUUUAAGACACUGCACUUAGCAACUACAACAUGGCAAGACAGAAUAAGCUAAAAUGUAAGCACUUGUCCAAAAAUGCAUUUGGAUAUCAGCAAUUUUAUGUAGUACUACCAUCUAUGGGUGCAUCUCUAGUAAACUAGUUGCAUUAUUUUGUUUCGCAUUAAGAGUGCUUGUGAGCCUUCUACUGAUUUGGCUAAAUGGACUAAACGUGAUUUGAUUUUAAAAACAACCAACCUGCAAAAACCAUUUUAAUGGUAUUUGGCUUGAUGCAGCAGUCUCCUCUGCUGGAAGAAAAAGUCCUAGUUUCAAGCACUGGGAAUAAAUAUCUUGUUUAUCUUAAAUUGUAAAUGUAUUAGUCAGCAGCAAAAUCUGGAUGCUCUUGCAUUCAUUAAGAUAAAUGUUCCUUAAUGAAACUAAGGUAAUGCAAAUGCUAGAUGCAAGUUUGUUUAUGCAGCGGUGCCAACAUUAUUUAUGCAAGGUAUCACUUUUCCUUCUCUGAAGCUGGCCCAUGGUGCUCUUUGAUGUAGUACAACUGAGCAAUUCCUUGUCUGCCAAACACAAAGCCUUUUUUCUCUUAAUCCCCUCUAGCAUUACCAUGUAGUACCAGCAGGUGGACAUGUUUAGAAAAUUGAUUGCCUACUAGCUCUAGAAAACUGCUGAAGUGGAGAAAACAAACUAUAUUAAUUCUGAUUACUCGUUUCUAAGCAUAGUAUACUGCAUGGAGGAGGCUGUUAGCUGCUCUUUCAUACAUAACAAAUGGAAAAGACUUAUAGCAAGGAAGAGUCCCUUGUGAGAAUUCUAAGAAUUUUCAUCUAUGCAGGAAUACUUUGUAAGGGAAAAAGGAAAGAGUUCCCUCUAAUAGGAAUUUGAUGCCAAUUAGGUGAUGUCCUGGGUGGGGUUCUCAGAACACCAGUUGGCCACUUCAAAGAAGGAAAAAUGCUGGGUAGGUAAUUUUGUGCUUGUGUUUGUGGAGAAUCACAGCCAUUCAAAUUGUCAGAUAGCCUCGGACAUAAUUCCAGUGCUCUGUGGCUGUAAAAGAUUGUGGGAUGUGGGUGGGUCAUAGACCAAAAUUGUUGAAUCACUACUUACAUCCUUUACCAUGAUUGCAGCAAACAGUGGUAAAGGACAGAAGGUUGGUCCAGCUCUGUAUCAGGUGCUGAAGGUCUAACCAAACUGGUCUAGGAAGAUGGAAGUAAGUCAGUAUCCAACAGUGCCAUCUUUAGAGAACAGUAGCUUCUAGUAUAGCCCCUCUUAUUCUCAGCUAGGCUGGUGUUGCAGGGGAGAAGUGAAGGGCGCGAGUUCUAACCAGGGUGCACAAGAUUGGAGAGAGGAGAAUAAAGCUAACUGCUACUUUAUUCUUUUUUUACAUUGCAGGCUAGUCACCCCAUCAUAGUUCUAUCAAAGCUCACAAAAAUGAAGCUUGUGUAAGAGCAACAAACUCGUGGGGAAAUAGUCCAAGUAAUUUAACUCUUCAUUUAGUACUUUACCAAUGAACUGACAUGUCAUCUCCAUAGUCAUUGUAUGCCUCAAGAUAUUACCCCACUUUGUCUCUCUAAUCUCCAGAGUCAGACAUUCAUAGAUUUUUAAGGCCAGACAGGACCAUCUUGUCCAACCUCCUCUAUCACAAGCCACAGAAUAUCCUUCAGUUAUCCCACUACUGAGUCCUAUACUUGUUUGACUAAAGCAUAUUUUCCAGAAAGGCUUCCAGGCUUGAAGAUUUCAAGAGAUGGAGGAUCCACCACUUGCUUUAAUAGUUUGUGCCAAUGGUUAAUCACCCUCAUUGAUAAAAAGUGGCAUUUAUAAUAUGAAUGUACAUGACUUUAACUUCCAGCUGUCGACUGGGUUAUGCCUUUCUCCUGAGGCUGGGUCUCCUGACUACAGCACCAGGCUUUAUCCACUGGGCCAUGAUGCCUCCCUUAGACUUGAAUACAGUGGCACUGCUUAACUAA
Chelonoidis abingdonii (Abingdon island giant tortoise) is the source of this 2593-nucleotide non-coding RNA. The record is from RefSeq and is a predicted model, not a curated record. Lineage: Eukaryota; Metazoa; Chordata; Testudines; Testudinidae.